RNAcentral lists this ribosomal RNA (894 nucleotides) under Staphylococcus agnetis. RNAcentral's name for it is "bacterial SSU rRNA". It matches the Rfam family "Bacterial small subunit ribosomal RNA", at positions 51 to 926 of the family's 1533-position model. Lineage: Bacteria; Bacillati; Bacillota; Bacilli; Caryophanales; Staphylococcaceae. The record is from RNAcentral.
AUACAUGCAAGUCGAGCGAACUGACGAGGAGCUUGCUCCUUUGACGUUAGCGGCGGACGGGUGAGUAACACGUGGGUAACCUACCUAUAAGACUGGAAUAACUCCGGGAAACCGGGGCUAAUGCCGGAUAACAUGUUGAACCGCAUGGUUCAACAGUGAAAGACGGUCUUGCUGUCACUUAUAGAUGGACCCGCGCCGUAUUAGCUAGUUGGUAAGGUAACGGCUUACCAAGGCGACGAUACGUAGCCGACCUGAGAGGGUGAUCGGCCACACUGGAACUGAGACACGGUCCAGACUCCUACGGGAGGCAGCAGUAGGGAAUCUUCCGCAAUGGGCGAAAGCCUGACGGAGCAACGCCGCGUGAGUGAUGAAGGUCUUCGGAUCGUAAAGCUCUGUUGUUAGGGAAGAACAUAUGUGUAAGUAACUGUGCACAUCUUGACGGUACCUAACCAGAAAGCCACGGCUAACUACGUGCCAGCAGCCGCGGUAAUACGUAGGUGGCAAGCGUUAUCCGGAAUUAUUGGGCGUAAAGCGCGCGUAGGCGGUUUUUUAAGUCUGAUGUGAAAGCCCACGGCUCAACCGUGGAGGGUCAUUGGAAACUGGAAAACUUGAGUGCAGAAGAGGAAAGUGGAAUUCCAUGUGUAGCGGUGAAAUGCGCAGAGAUAUGGAGGAACACCAGUGGCGAAGGCGGCUUUCUGGUCUGUAACUGACGCUGAGGUGCGAAAGCGUGGGGAUCAAACAGGAUUAGAUACCCUGGUAGUCCACGCCGUAAACGAUGAGUGCUAAGUGUUAGGGGGUUUCCGCCCCUUAGUGCUGCAGCUAACGCAUUAAGCACUCCGCCUGGGGAGUACGGUCGCAAGACUGAAACUCAAAGGAAUUGACGGGGACCCGCAC